RNAcentral lists this ribosomal RNA (3006 nucleotides) under Salmonella enterica subsp. enterica serovar 4,[5],12:i:-. RNAcentral's name for it is "23S ribosomal RNA". It matches the Rfam family "Bacterial large subunit ribosomal RNA". The record is from RNAcentral. Lineage: Bacteria; Pseudomonadati; Pseudomonadota; Gammaproteobacteria; Enterobacterales; Enterobacteriaceae.
UUAAGCGACUAAGCGUACACGGUGGAUGCCCUGGCAGUCAGAGGCGAUGAAGGGCGUGCUAAUCUGCGAUAAGCGCCGGUAAGGUGAUAUGAACCGUUAUAACCGGCGAUACCCGAAUGGGGAAACCCAGUGUGACUCGUCACACUAUCAUUAACUGAAUCCAUAGGUUAAUGAGGCGAACCGGGGGAACUGAAACAUCUAAGUACCCCGAGGAAAAGAAAUCAACCGAGAUUCCCCCAGUAGCGGCGAGCGAACGGGGAGGAGCCCAGAGCCUGAAUCAGCAUGUGUGUUAGUGGAAGCGUCUGGAAAGGCGCGCGAUACAGGGUGACAGCCCCGUACACAAAAGCGCAUGUGCUGUGAGCUCGAUGAGUAGGGCGGGACACGUGGUAUCCUGUCUGAAUAUGGGGGGACCAUCCUCCAAGGCUAAAUACUCCUGACUGACCGAUAGUGAACCAGUACCGUGAGGGAAAGGCGAAAAGAACCCCGGCGAGGGGAGUGAAAAAGAACCUGAAACCGUGUACGUACAAGCAGUGGGAGCCCCACCACCAAAGCAUUCUCUGGUGUUGAAGGCCCUGCAAAGCAGCAUCGCGGUGGCGGAGCGUCGUUUGCGACGCCCAACACACAAAACAAGCGGUGAAUGCUUUGGGGUGGGGUGACUGCGUACCUUUUGUAUAAUGGGUCAGCGACUUAUAUUCUGUAGCAAGGUUAACCGAAUAGGGGAGCCGGAGGGAAACCGAGUCUUAAUUGGGCGUUAAGUUGCAGGGUAUAGACCCGAAACCCGGUGAUCUAGCCAUGGGCAGGUUGAAGGUUGGGUAACACUAACUGGAGGACCGAACCGACUAAUGUUGAAAAAUUAGCGGAUGACCUGUGGCUGGGGGUGAAAGGCCAAUCAAACCGGGAGAUAGCUGGUUCUCCCCGAAAGCUAUUUAGGUAGCGCCUCGUGAAUUCAUCUCCGGGGGUAGAGCACUGUUUCGGCUAGGGGGCCAUCCCGGCUUACCAACCCGAUGCAAACUGCGAAUACCGGAGAAUGUUAUCACGGGAGACACACGGCGGGUGCUAACGUCCGUCGUGAAGAGGGAAACAACCCAGACCGCCAGCUAAGGUCCCAAAGUCAUGGUUAAGUGGGAAACGAUGUGGGAAGGCCCAGACAGCCAGGAUGUUGGCUUAGAAGCAGCCAUCAUUUAAAGAAAGCGUAAUAGCUCACUGGUCGAGUCGGCCUGCGCGGAAGAUGUAACGGGGCUAAACCAUGCACCGAAGCUGCGGCAGCGACGCUGAUGCGUUGUUGGGUAGGGGAGCGUUCUGUAAGCCUGUGAAGGUGUGUCGUGAGGCAUGCUGGAGGUAUCAGAAGUGCGAAUGCUGACAUAAGUAACGAUAAAGCGGGUGAAAAGCCCGCUCGCCGGAAGACCAAGGGUUCCUGUCCAACGUUAAUCGGGGCAGGGUGAGUCGACCCCUAAGGCGAGGCCGAAAGGCGUAGUCGAUGGGAAACGGGUUAAUAUUCCCGUACUUGGUGUUACUGCGAAGGGGGGACGGAGAAGGCUAUGUUGGCCGGGCGACGGUUGUCCCGGUUUAAGCGUGUAGGUGUGUGUUCCAGGUAAAUCCGGUUCACUUUAACACUGAGGCGUGACGACGAGGCACUACGGUGCUGAAGCAACAAAUGCCCUGCUUCCAGGAAAAGCCUCUAAGCAUCAGGUAACACGAAAUCGUACCCCAAACCGACACAGGUGGUCAGGUAGAGAAUACCAAGGCGCUUGAGAGAACUCGGGUGAAGGAACUAGGCAAAAUGGUGCCGUAACUUCGGGAGAAGGCACGCUGACACGUAGGUGAAGUGAUUUACUCAUGGAGCUGAAGUCAGUCGAAGAUACCAGCUGGCUGCAACUGUUUAUUAAAAACACAGCACUGUGCAAACACGAAAGUGGACGUAUACGGUGUGACGCCUGCCCGGUGCCGGAAGGUUAAUUGAUGGGGUCAGCGCAAGCGAAGCUCCUGAUCGAAGCCCCGGUAAACGGCGGCCGUAACUAUAACGGUCCUAAGGUAGCGAAAUUCCUUGUCGGGUAAGUUCCGACCUGCACGAAUGGCGUAAUGAUGGCCAGGCUGUCUCCACCCGAGACUCAGUGAAAUUGAACUCGCUGUGAAGAUGCAGUGUACCCGCGGCAAGACGGAAAGACCCCGUGAACCUUUACUAUAGCUUGACACUGAACAUUGAGCCUUGAUGUGUAGGAUAGGUGGGAGGCUUUGAAGUGUGGACGCCAGUCUGCAUGGAGCCGACCUUGAAAUACCACCCUUUAAUGUUUGAUGUUCUAACGUGGACCCGUAAUCCGGGUUGCGGACAGUGUCUGGUGGGUAGUUUGACUGGGGCGGUCUCCUCCUAAAGAGUAACGGAGGAGCACGAAGGUUGGCUAAUCCUGGUCGGACAUCAGGAGGUUAGUGCAAUGGCAUAAGCCAGCUUGACUGCGAGCGUGACGGCGCGAGCAGGUGCGAAAGCAGGUCAUAGUGAUCCGGUGGUUCUGAAUGGAAGGGCCAUCGCUCAACGGAUAAAAGGUACUCCGGGGAUAACAGGCUGAUACCGCCCAAGAGUUCAUAUCGACGGCGGUGUUUGGCACCUCGAUGUCGGCUCAUCACAUCCUGGGGCUGAAGUAGGUCCCAAGGGUAUGGCUGUUCGCCAUUUAAAGUGGUACGCGAGCUGGGUUUAGAACGUCGUGAGACAGUUCGGUCCCUAUCUGCCGUGGGCGCUGGAGAACUGAGGGGGGCUGCUCCUAGUACGAGAGGACCGGAGUGGACGCAUCACUGGUGUUCGGGUUGUCAUGCCAAUGGCACUGCCCGGUAGCUAAAUGCGGAAGAGAUAAGUGCUGAAAGCAUCUAAGCACGAAACUUGCCCCGAGAUGAGUUCUCCCUGAGACUUAGAGUCUCCUGAAGGAACGUUGAAGACGACGACGUUGAUAGGCCGGGUGUGUAAGCGCAGCGAUGCGUUGAGCUAACCGGUACUAAUGAACCGUGAGGCUUAACCUU